Molecule: RNA transcript, 7353 nt
Organism: Stegostoma tigrinum
Lineage: Eukaryota; Metazoa; Chordata; Chondrichthyes; Orectolobiformes; Stegostomatidae
Gene: tmem183a
Gene name: transmembrane protein 183A
Exons: 10
Source: RefSeq, a predicted model, not a curated record
GGAGUCUCAGUUCCAAUAUGGCUGAAGAUCCCGGGGGAGUGACUUUUAUUCACUCAAUCACUUUCUCUUUUUUUUCCCUUUCUCCUGCCGGUUCCGCAACAUGGAAGAACUCUCGAUAACGUGUUUUGGUCUCGUGUUGCCGUCGCCAUGCCAAAGAAAGGGAACAGAAAACGGCUGAAAUACCGCGGAAACAUUUCUUCUGAAACAGUUACUGUGGCAGAUUAUGCCGAUUCAGAUCCAGCUAUCGUGAAGACUGGUAGAAUAAAGAAAGCUGUAGCAAAUGCAAUUCAGAAAGAAGUAAAGUUACUGUGCGGUUUGGAAGCUUCCCAAGUUCCUGUGACAGAAGAAGCUCUUUCCUCUGUUUCUGUGGAUCGAUUGGACUGUGACAGCAGUGAUGAAGUAGAUCUGGAUGGCCACUCAAAUGAGUUGAAGGUUUCUAGGAAGAAGAAAAGCAAAAGACAGCAAGAGAAUGCUGAGGACUGUGGGCAGCAGUACCCUAUAGAUAUUUGGUUAUUUCUGGCCUCCUACAUACGACCUGAGGAUGUUGCCAAGUUUGCUCUAAUUUGUAAAAAUGCUUGGACUGUUACCUGUACUGCUGCUUUUUGGACCAGGUUAUACAGAAGGCACUAUUGUUCGGAUGUUUACUUGCCUGUACGUUUGCAACGCGAGGUCAUAGGAAAGUUGGGUUCACUGCGUGCCUGUGUGAUCCGUUCACUGUACCACAUGUACGAACCAUUUCGUCUGCGCAUAUCAGAAAAACCAGCAAUUCCUGAGUCAACUCCAAAUACGUUACAGAACUGUAGUUGCUUGCUGUACUGGUGCAAGAAGGGGACUGGAAAUAGAUCAGACCAAAGAUGGGAAUUCAACUACAAAUUCAAAAAACAGUCUCCCAAGUUGAAGAAUGGCUCUCGAAAUGGGCUUCAGUUUCCAAGACAGUAUGAAGAGGUACACAUGAAUCCUGACCAAGACUGCUAUUUGCUGCAGAUCACCACUCUCAAUUUCAUCUUCACGCCAGUGGUUAUGGGAAUGACUCUAGCAUUGUUUACAAUAAGUGUAAGCACUGAUAUGAGGCACCACCGUGUCAGGAUGGUGUUCCAAGAUUCUCCACUUCCACAUGGAAAGAAACCAAAAAAGGACCAAGGACUCCAAGUUGUCUUGGACCCUGUGCAUAGCGUGCGCUUACUGGACUGGUGGCAUCCACAGUUUCCCUUUUCUGCCAGUAUUUAGUGUUGUUUCACAACAUCAUAUGAAACUGCUGUCACAAAUUGGGUUUUGAAAAGUGCUUUGCAUGAUAGACAUGAAAAGGUCGGUUAGUACAGUUGGCUGGACAGCUGGUUUGUAAUGCAGAGCGAUGACAGCAGCAUGGGUUCACUUCCCGCACUGGCCAAGGUUACCCUGAAGGACACUCCUCAACUUCUCCCCUGAGGCCUAGCGAUUGUUGGGUUUAACCACCACCAGUCAUUUCUCUCCAAUGAGAGAGCAACCUCUGUCUGCAAACAUUGUGGCCUUCUUAAUAUUCUGGCAAAGGAACUGCAUGCUUUCCAAAUCGAGCACUUAUUACCUGAUGGCAAUUUCAGUUGCAGACACCCUGGUGCUUAUUUUUAUUGUAAUAAUUGAGUUAGUCCUCAAGUUUCACAUCCUUGAACCAUUCUGGGCAAGGGAUCCUUGGUGUACUAUCAGGGACAUUUUUAAUUAUGGUGCAUACAACGCUUCUGUCUGGCUUGUAGUUACCUUCACAGUUGAACGUUUCAUCGCUAUAAGUACUUUCAGACUCAAAACUAAGUUAUGUACGGCACGAUGUGCCAUCAUGGUUAUAAGUCUCACUUUCAUCUUAAGUUAUUUGCUGGCUGUGCCUUAUUUUUGGUCAAAUCACUCUCAAGCUAGACCGAUUUCUAACAAUGUUACCGAAAGCCUUGAAAUUCUAUACAUAUGUGUUUACAAACGAAAUAUCUCAUAUUUGUUUGUUCAUGGUCUGGUGUGGUUUCAAACAAUUUUUGAUUAUAUUGUACCAUUCGUAAUUAUUUUCACACUGAAUGGUUUGACACUUAGGUUAAUUAUGCAGAGCAAUAAGGUGCACCAGUCCUGUGAAGUGAAGGGGAAGGACAAUUCAGCAGGUUCUCUUUAUUUCAGGGCUCAGAAAAGGAAAUCUAUUGUCCUCCUGAUCACAGUCUCAAUGAGUUUUGCACUGUUAUGUGCCACAAGACUCGUCACACAGCUUAUCCUUCGUAUAACAUACUAUGAUAUUGACCGGAUGGACUAUUCACAAACCAUCAAUGUCGUUGCUGAUAUUGGGUCUAUGCUUGACUUGACCAACAUGGCUAUCAAUAUGUACCUAUAUGCAUGUACACAACCUAAAUUCCGGAAGGAGCUGCUGUACUGUGUAAAUGCCAUGCUGUGCCCUUGUAAACACUGCAAACGAUUUCAUGCAGACUCCACAGCGGUUAUCUUCCAGCUGUGAUGCUAUGGACAAGGUCUUGGAAAGUGUAAAAUAUUCCAGGUGGAAUACUGCAAGUUCCAAUUAUCCUUUAUCUCAACUACCUGGUGAAUACAAAGCAGGUGCAAAGCAGUGCAUUUGCUUCAUUGUAUUAUUAAAGCAAUAUAAAUGUGAGCCCCGCACUUCGGCAUCUGUAAGGUUGUGGUUUGGGAUGUUGGAUUCAUACAAAGCAUAUUGAAGGGCUUUUGUACUGUGGCAGUACAAUCUACAGGGUACAAGCCUGUACUUUGCACAAUCCACUUCUAACUAGGGUUGGUCAUGGUGAUCAGAUGUAGGAAUUUGAGCUGUUUGUUUUCUUCCUCAGCAGUGCUAAGCAGAAAUGUAACACUUCUAGGGGUAUCUAUUUGGAAUCUAACACAGUACACGUUGGUGAUUGGUUGGGAUCAUUCAGCUGCUCACUAGGUGAACUUGAGUCAUUAUCACAGUGAAGGGGGAGGCAAUUUAGCUCAUCACAUCCAUGUUGACACAAACAGUGGAAUUGCUGGAGAAAUUUAGUAAUCCUGUCAGCAUUUGUAGAGAGAGAAACAGAGAUGUGUCUCUGUUCUGAAGAAAGAGUCAUACUGAGCUAAAAAUUUAACUCUGUUUCUCUCUCCACAGACUUGCUGUGUUUCUCCAACAAUUUUUGUUUUUGUUUCAGAUGUCCAGCAUCCAGAGUAUUCAAACCCAAGCUAGCUGUCUGUCUACAGAGCAAUCCGGUCAGUCCCAUUCCCCCAUUUCCCCCAGAGCCAUGCAAGUUUAUUUCCCUCAAGUGACCAACUGCUUUCCCUUUGAAAUCAUUGAUCAUUGCUGUUUCCAUCCCCUUUCUUUUUUAUUUUGUAAAAUAGUUCUUCCUCACGUCACCACUGCACACAACAACCUUAAGUCUGUGUCUCCUCAUAUGGUCAGCUAGUGGGAAUCACCUUUCUCUGUUGACCACAUCGAAAUCUGUCAACAUCUUCUACGCUUCGAUGAAAUUUUCAUUCAGUCUUCUUUUCUACAUGGAGAAAAAUGGCAGCUUGUCUAGCCUUACUUUCUAGCCAAGAUCCCUGAUCUAUCUAAAAAUUCCAGUAAAUCUCCUUUUGCAUUUUCCCUUCCUAACGUGUGGUGACCAGAACUGGAUGCAGUAGUAGUUGUAGCCUAACCACAGUUUUAUAAAAAACUUCAGCAUAACUUCCCUCCUUUUAUAAUCAAUAUCCCAAUUAGGGAAGCUGAAGAUCCCACUUACUUUGCUCAUUAGUGGCUCAAUAUAUCCUGACACCUUCGAUGGUUGGUGCACACUACAUCCAAAUCCCUCUGCUAGUCUGCCUUUUAGGUCAAUUAAAAGCAUUCUCACUAUAGAGACAUAGUCAUGCAGCAUGGCAACGGACCCUUCAGUCCAACUCGUCCAUGCUGAUCAAGUUUCCCAAGCUAAACUAGUCCCACUUUAUUUUUUUUUUCAAUAACAGUAUUGGUCCCAGCACUGCCCAUUGGGAAACUGCAAAGUGCUAUAAUCUCCGAUCCCUGGCAUCUCCUCAUUCUCAUCUGCACCCUCACCAGUUUGGAAUCGGAGUGAGAUUGAAAGAUCAUGGCAAGCCCUUCCAUAUUUCUGCUUCCACUUUCUUUAGCAAUCAUUGAUGCAAGCCACCCAGACCAGACAGCUAAUCCACUUUAAGCCAGUUUUUCAGUUCAUCCUGCGUAUCAAUUUUCACCUCACCUGUAGUGGUGGCUCAGUGGUUAGCACUACUGCCUCGUAGUGCCAGGGACCCAGAUUCAAUUCUCGUCUCAUGCAGCUGUCUGUGUGGAGUUUGCACAUUCUCCCCAUGUCUGCAUGGAUUUCGUCUGGGUGCUCCAGUUUCCUCCAGUCCAAAGAUGUGCAGGUUAGAUGGAUUAGCCAUUGGAAUUCCACAGUUAUGGAGCAGGAUGGUGGGUUGGGACAGUGUGGACACGAUUGGCCAAAUGGCCUGCUUCUACACUGAAGGGCUUCUAUGAUUUUCAGUACCUCUAUUGCAGGGCUUCUUAAACAUUUUUCCUGGUGUAACUCAGUUUUCGUGUUGUGAUAGUUGAUUAAAUACAAUGUGGGGCAAAUUGCUGCAGAUGCUGGAAUAAACUGCCCAAUGCCUUCCACUACAAAGCCACUGACUCCCAAACCUACCUUCACUGCAGCUGUUUCCACUACAUGUCCUGCAAGGACUCCAUCCCAUUCUCCCAGCUCCUUCGCCUGUGUCACUUCUGUUUCAAUGCUUUCAUGUGGCUUGCUUCUUCCAGGACUGUGGUUGCCUGCCCACUGCGGUUGACAGGGCCCUUGACCACAUCUGACCUAUCACCCAUGCCCUUUCCCAUCACUCGCAACUGUGUGAUCGAACCCCCAUUGUCUUCACUUUUCAUCCCACCAGCCUGCGCGUUCAAAGGAUCGUUCUCUGCCAUUUCAGACAACUCCAGCAGAAUGCCAGCACCAAAGACAUCUUCCCCUCUUUCCCACCAUCUGUGUUUCCCAGGGAUUUUUCCCUCUGGAAUGCCCUAGUCCAUUCAUUGAUCACUUACACCACCACCACCAACCCCCCUGCUUUCCCAGGGCACCUUUCCGUGUAACUGCAGAAGGUGUAACACAUGCCCCUUCACCAAAGAACAAGGAACAAAGAAAACUACAGCAUAGGAACAGGCCCUUUGGCCCUCCAAGUCUGCGUCAAUCCAGAUCCUCAAUCUAAACCUGUCACUUAUUUUCCAAGGAUCUGUAUCCCUCUGCUCCCUGCCUAUUCAUGUGUCUGUUUUGGUAUAUCUUAAAUGACGCUAUCGUGCCCGCCCCUGCUUCCUGCUUGCAUACCCAUUUGUCUGUCCUCAGCAUGCUGCGGUGUUCCAGUGAAUCACAGAGUAAAUUGGAGGAACAACAUCUUGUCUUCGGAGUCAUCUAAACUUGAAACGAUUAGCUUGCAUUCUCGCCCUGGAUGCUGCCUGACCUGCUAUGAUCUCCAGCGGUGGGGUUUUCAUGUUGUGAUAGCUGGGUUGAAUAUUUGGGUGAACUGUGUUGUUGAGUGGUGGUGCAGGGAACCCUUACUUGCUCAGUGAAUUGGGGUAGGAUAGCUCCAUAUUCAGCAGAGAGGAGAGUGAAUCUCUUCCCACUUUUACCACCACUCCAUCUUUCCCCUCUGUUCAACAUCCUCCAAAUAUCCCUGUCCUUUCGCCAACUCUCGUAUCCCCCUCCUUAACUUCGAAACCCAACCCUAUACCUCGUCAACCCCACAUAUUCCCCUCCCUCGUUCCCAUUCCCCCCUCCCCCACCAGAUCCCCCUUCCAUCACACACACUCUUUCCAUUUCUUUUGUGGGGCAGAAUGAACACCUAUGUUUUCAUUCAGGCCUUGGUGUGCAAAUGAUUCAGCCAUGCCCGCCAGUAGAAGAAAAGGAGCAUUUUAAAAGGGCCAGGCAACUGUCUGGCCUUGAUGCAAGCCAUUGCUGCUUCAGAGCUCAUGACCUAAGAUCUCACCGUGUGACCCUGCUAGGAGACCGUGUUCCACUGCCUCUGCUCCUACUGAUAUUUGGUCAGAAUUCACUUGCAUAGCUAACAUUGAACACAGUCCUCAUUAACAAUUCUACCUUUCCGCUUAGGCCUUUAAGCAUAUAUGACCCUCUUUGUCUGUAAUAGAACUGCCUCUCCACCACUUGCUUCCAAUCUUAUUUUCCUUCUCAUGUGUUGCAAUUUAGCAUGGUUCUUGCCUGAAGCAUUCAUCUAACUUCAUCAUUCUACCUUUCAUCUAUUUUUCUCUUUUAUUCCACCAUAACCUGUAUCUGCCUCAUCGCUCAAAAAGCUCAGUUUUGAUGCCUUAUUUAUGUCUCUUGUCAGAAUGUGCUUAGACUAGUUGAGCCAUUGUUGGAUAAUUCCAACAAAUACAUACAUCUGGAAAGCAAGAAUCAAUUAGUUGGGCAUUUGUAGGCCUCUAUUUCUUGUUUUAGAAAUUCAAAUCAAUGUGAAAGAAUUUAAACAGGACAAUAUCAUGAAGGUAAGCUUUAUUAUCUUUCAGGGUACAUUUUAACAUUGUAACUCUCAAAUCCAUAUAGGGGUUACAGCUCACACUAUUAAUCCUUAGCACUGAGCACCUAUUGAAAAUUACUUUUGAAAGAUUUCAUAUCCCAGUUAGUUGCUAUAAUAUUACAUACUGUUAUACUGAGCAGUAACAUGUAAAGCUUUAGUGUGUUGAGUAACCAUCCAUAAUAAUUAUAAUUAACAUAUUAAAGAGGUGGCCAAUUUAGGAAUUUUAAUUCAAGAUAUAAUCAUUUCAUUAUGAAAAAUACUAUGGUUAUUGAAGGUACUUUUUCCUAAAUAAACCCAAACAGGAUGCUCAUUUCUACAUUAUUUUUCAAGAUGUAGCAAGCAAAUAAUUUAAAUUAAAAAGGAAUCUUACCUUUAUCUUUAAGUAACUGUCCAUUAGUGCCAUUAUCUUACAUGUGGAUCAGUAAUGAUGCUUUUGUGAGAAUACGGAGUUUGAUAUUAUUUUAACACAUUCAUUCUUAAUGUACAAAUUAAUUUCAUUAUGAAUAUAAGCAUGGAUCACUGUACAUUGUUUGUGUAUAAUCUUGCAUAUGGCAUAAUUCUCCCAAUGUUUUAAUUGGAUUUUGAUUGUCUGAACAGGUUCCUGUGUAAAUUUGAUGGUAUUCUGUAAAGACUGGAUUAGCUGAAAGGCCAUCUUCUCAAAAAUGUGCGAAAUUAUUUUUGUUAGUGGUAACAAUUUAUUGUUUGACAGGAUUUGUAUUAUUCGAGAACAUUCUGUACAAAUGAAGAAUUCCUUACAUCGUGCCUUUCAUCUGUAACCUUUAAUUUUGUACACAAUCAUUCUCUCUAAGUAUUAUGUUUGUGUGUGACUAGAAUAUUAGUGAACAAAUUUGCUGCAAUGAGAUUAAAUACCUUUAU